RNAcentral lists this long non-coding RNA (1064 nucleotides) under Marmota monax (woodchuck). Lineage: Eukaryota; Metazoa; Chordata; Mammalia; Rodentia; Sciuridae. The record is from RNAcentral.
AGUCCUCUCACUGCUCAGGAACCCUAGUGCAGAGUCCACUUAGCCAACAGGAAGACAACACAUAAACACUGAGUGGCCCAGUGACCUCGCCCAGUGACCUCUCACACAGACACCUGAUGUGUGGUCUCUUCUCUGUGUCUCUGUCCAGCCCACCCACCACUCAACAGGGAGAUCUCCAGAGAUGGUGACUGCAGUCCCCCCAGAACCACCAUCAGCUGCACGUUCUCCAGGGGCUAGUAGAGCAUUAGAGGAAAAGCUGUCCUUGCACUUUUUAUGCAGCACAGUAAGGAAGGCUUGAUUUAAUGGGGAGACUGUGGAGCCGGAUAUGGGGUCCAGGCAGUGAAGACAGAUCUCAGCUGGGAUCCACUCCAUUCAUUUCCUCCUGUGGAAGCCCCCAGCCACAUGGGCUCCCUGGCCUUCUCUCAGCAGGGUCUCCCUCCCCAGUCCCAUUCCUGGAGCUCCCACCCCUCCAGGGCCCAUCUCCUGGGUUGAGACUCUCCAUCUGCCUUCUCUCCCACAAGACGACAGCAUCCUUGAGGGCAGAGGCUGCAGCCAUUCCAAGAUUCACGCAGAGCCAGGAACAUGGAGGUGCACAAGAUUCAUUGAUGAAGUAGAGAAAGAAAGAGGAAGGAUGGAUGGAAGGGAACAUUUCCCAUUUUUACCAUAAGGAGGAGGGUUGAUUUUAUUUCAUCAUUGCUCAGUUUGUUGUGUUUUAUUUUAGUGUUAUUUUGCUUAUGGCUCUUCUGGCUCAUCUCUUUUCCUUUUCUCUGCAGUCACUGCCAGACUCUCUCAGAGUCUGUUGACCCAGCCAAUCCGUCUCUACAAUAAUGGCAGCCAUUUAUUAAGCUCUGUGCAAGCAAAUUAUAUAGGCUAUUUUCUUGUAAACAGCAACUCAGCGCUUGAAGAUAGGUGUUCUCCCUAUAUGAAAGACUGGUAAGUCCAGCUGGUGAGGAGUGUGACUGAGAUUUGGCCCUGAUUUAUCUGGAACCACAGCCUUUGCUCACUACCAUACUCAGAUUGCCUCUCCUUCACCACACUGCCCAGGGGGGUCAGGCACACACCCA